This 445-nucleotide ribosomal RNA is filed under the name uncultured Micrococcus sp. RNAcentral's name for it is "bacterial SSU rRNA". It matches the Rfam family "Bacterial small subunit ribosomal RNA", at positions 338 to 795 of the family's 1533-position model. The record is from RNAcentral. Lineage: Bacteria; Bacillati; Actinomycetota; Actinomycetes; Micrococcales; Micrococcaceae.
CCUACGGGAGGCAGCAGUGGGGAAUUUUGCACAAUGGGCGAAAGCCUGAUGCAGCGACGCCGCGUGAGGGAUGACGGCCUUCGGGUUGUAAACCUCUUUCAGUAGGGAAGAAGCGAAAGUGACGGUACCUGCAGAAGAAGCACCGGCUAACUACGUGCCAGCAGCCGCGGUAAUACGUAGGGUGCGAACGUUAUCCGGGAUUAUUGGGCGUAAAGAGCUCGUAGGCGGGUUGUCGCUUCCGUCGUGAAAGUCCGGGGCGUAACCCCGGGUCUGCGGUGGGUACGGGCAGACUAGAGUGCAGUAGGGGAGACUGGAAUUCCUGGUGUAGCGGUGGAAUGCGCAGGUAUCAGGAGGAACACCGAUGGCGAAGGCAGGUCUCUGGGCUGUAACUGACGCUGAGGAGCGAGAGCAUGGGGAGCGAACAGGAUUAGAUACCCUGGUAGUC